CGAUACUUAUUGUAUGGAAGACUAGUGAUUUUGUUGUUUUGCUUUGGAAUUAAACAAUAAAUCCCUUGUCUUCUUACAAUGUGUAUUA
Stomoxys calcitrans (stable fly) is the source of this 88-nucleotide non-coding RNA. NCBI's taxonomy places the organism in Eukaryota, Metazoa, Arthropoda, Insecta, Diptera, Muscidae. The record is from Rfam.